CGUUCCGAACCUCAUCAAUGACGUUGGGCUCAAGGUCGACAUAUAGUGACCGAGGCACAUGCUUGCCGGAAGAGGUCUCCGAGAAAAAAGUGCUGAAGCCAUCAUCGUGGGCCGACGGGGAGCCCUCCAGAAGGCGACCAUCGGGGCCGAGACCAUGCUCAACGGUGUAGAGUUCCCAGCAGGCAUUGCCGAUUUGGACACCGGCCUGGCCAACGUGUACGGAG
This 224-nucleotide unclassified non-coding RNA is filed under the name Hevea brasiliensis (rubber tree). The record is from RNAcentral. Lineage: Eukaryota; Viridiplantae; Streptophyta; Magnoliopsida; Malpighiales; Euphorbiaceae.